Long non-coding RNA from Panicum virgatum (switchgrass), 620 nucleotides. RefSeq lists it as uncharacterized. The transcript is spliced from 4 exons. Lineage: Eukaryota; Viridiplantae; Streptophyta; Magnoliopsida; Poales; Poaceae. The record is from RefSeq and is a predicted model, not a curated record.
ACUGCCCGGAUAGAGUCAUGAGGCAGUUCGGUCGACGCCAGUCUUUCCCUGUGUCUUCAGCGUUGGAUCGUGUUCAGCGCCACGAUCAUAGGUAACAAAAAUGUAUGAGCACCCAUGUACUAAUAACGUGAAACUAAUUUCUAUUUAACGUGCAGUUUAUCAAGGGCUGGACAUCCUUUCUCGGAAAUGUGGGUCACUAGAUUACAACCAUGGGUGGCUGCGUGGGAUGAUGCAGACGAGCAGUUGGCUGAGGAUACCGGUCCACACACUGAGCCUUCGUUUCGGGCGUACCUGACCUGGAUCGCUAUGCACGACACAGGGAUGAGGCAUUAGCUGGGGCGUUCGAGGCAUGUAGGCUGCUUGAAUUAGAUUGCUCACUGAAUGUAAUGAGGAUUCAUGACGGGUCUACGAUGAGCGUGCCGGCACAACUCGAGGCCUGGACCACUCAACGUGAUAGAGCUCGAGGUAUCCUUCAGGCCUUUGGUACGCGGACGGAGUACGAGGAUUCCUACGGAUCGUCGCAAGCGUCGACGUCGGUUCCUUGUGGUCCCGCAUGGCAGCAGCCUCCCUUAUACCACCGACAGGCAGAAGGGUACGGGUACCCCGGUUCUCAGCCCUAC